Molecule: RNA transcript, 272 nt
Organism: Arabidopsis thaliana (thale cress)
Lineage: Eukaryota; Viridiplantae; Streptophyta; Magnoliopsida; Brassicales; Brassicaceae
Exons: 3
Source: RefSeq
AACAUAUAUAUUCUUUAGUGCUAAGUGAUUAAAUUUUUUCAUCACCUCUUACAACAGUUGACACCUCUUGAUAUUUUCUAAGUUGAAGGGUUAUGUUUUCUAUUCGGGUUUUACGUUAUACAGCAUGUUCGGUGAAGAUUAAAAGAACAAGAGAUGCAAACCUGUCAGCCUCUAGAGUGGAUCCUUAUUCUGCAAAGAACAAAGGUCCCAAGAGCAAUUGAGAGACGAUUUUGCAGCAAGAGCAUAUGAGAGGUUAUUUUCAUUUGAUGAGC